RNAcentral lists this non-coding RNA (52 nucleotides) under Trichobilharzia regenti. The record is from RNAcentral. Lineage: Eukaryota; Metazoa; Platyhelminthes; Trematoda; Strigeidida; Schistosomatidae.
AUCCAGCUAGGAGACGAGUCCCAAAAAGGACGAAAUGCGCAUCAAGCUGGAU